UUACGGUCAUCUUACGUUGAUACACCGGUGCCCGUACGAUCAGCGAAAUUAAGCAGCGUCGAGCAUAGUCAGUACAUAGAUGGGUGACUGCUUGGGAAUAUCAGGUGCAGUAAU
Non-coding RNA from Acanthosepion pharaonis, 114 nucleotides. NCBI's taxonomy places the organism in Eukaryota, Metazoa, Mollusca, Cephalopoda, Sepiida, Sepiidae. The record is from the annotation of a GenBank genome assembly.